GGAGAAACCAGGCUUGUCACUUUCUCAGGAGGUUUAUUUCCACCCCAAAGGGUUAGAGGAAGAUGGUUCAAAGCAGACUCUACGAAGGGAGAGGGAGCAGUGGUCUGUCCCCUUCCCAGUCUACUCAGUAAUAGGCGUGUCUGCCAAUCCAGCAUUUCAGCCUUGGAGGGAGCAGUGGCUGCUUUCUUCUAAAAUGAAAUGAGAAAAGAGACAAAAGAACUAAGAAAGCUGAAACGAUAAAGGUUCAAAACAUAGCGAUCAAAUAUGACCUUUCCGGAGACUAAUGCUACAAACAAUUUUGCAAAUAUACCACGUGGGAGAAAAACAAAUAGCGAUGAAAAUGUGCGCUGCCCUCUCUUAUUUUAUAAACAUCAGCACGCAAAAUGUAUACAUUCAUCAUGCUGGCUGAAUACCAGAGUCUUCCUGCCAAACUGCUUUUUCAAAAGAUUGCACCUAUGUACGUUUUUCACAACCAUUGUUAUUUUCUUAGC
Molecule: long non-coding RNA, 491 nt
Organism: Acinonyx jubatus (cheetah)
Lineage: Eukaryota; Metazoa; Chordata; Mammalia; Carnivora; Felidae
Exons: 3
Source: RefSeq, a predicted model, not a curated record